This 539-nucleotide ribosomal RNA is filed under the name uncultured bacterium. Its description in RNAcentral is "bacterial SSU rRNA". It matches the Rfam family "Bacterial small subunit ribosomal RNA", at positions 356 to 896 of the family's 1533-position model. The record is from RNAcentral.
GAGGAAUAUUGGUCAAUGGACGAAAGUCUGAACCAGCCAAGUAGCGUGCAGGAUGACGGCCCUAUGGGUUGUAAACUGCCUUUGUAUGGGGAUAAAGUCAAUCACGUGUGAUUGUUUGCAGGUACCAUACGAAUAAGGACCGGCUAAUUCCGUGCCAGCAGCCGCGGUAAUACGGAAGGUUCGGGCGUUAUCCGGAUUUAUUGGGUUUAAAGGGAGCGUAGGCCGGAGAUUAAGUGUGUUGUGAAAUGUAGACGCUCAACGUCUGACUUGCAGCGCAUACUGGUUUCCUUGAGUACGCACAACGUUGGCGGAAUUCGUCGUGUAGCGGUGAAAUGCUUAGAUAUGACGAAGAACUCCGAUUGCGAAGGCAGCUGACGGGAGCGCAACUGACGCUGAAGCUCGAAGGUGCGGGUAUCGAACAGGAUUAGAUACCCUGGUAGUCCGCACAGUAAACGAUGGAUGCCCGCUGUUGGUACCUGGUAUCAGCGGCUAAGCGAAAGCAUUAAGCAUCCCACCUGGGGAGUACGCCGGCAACGGUG